This is a long non-coding RNA of Etheostoma cragini (Arkansas darter), 85 nucleotides long. RefSeq lists it as uncharacterized. The transcript has 3 exons. Lineage: Eukaryota; Metazoa; Chordata; Actinopteri; Perciformes; Percidae. The record is from RefSeq and is a predicted model, not a curated record.
UCGGAUCCGACCUUUGCUGCGUGUCAUCCCUCCAUCUCACUACCCCUGUCAUGUCUAUCAACUGUCACUGAAAAUAAAAAUCUUU